CCUACGGGGUGCAGCAGUGGGGAAUAUUGCGCAAUGGGCGAAAGCCUGACGCAGCGACGCCGCGUGAGGGAUGAAGGUCUUCGGAUCGUAAACCUCUGUCAGCAGGGAAGAACGGUCACUGUGCUAAUCAGCAGUGAAUUGACGGUACCUGCAAAGGAAGCACCGGCUAACGCCGUGCCAGAAGCCGAGGUAAUACGGAGGGUGCGAGCGUUAAUCGGAAUUAAUGGGCGUCAAGCGCUCGUAGGCGGUAUGUCAAGUCAAGGGUGAAAUCACCGCGCUCAACGUGGGAACUGCCUGUGAAACUGGCAAACUGGAGUGUGUGAGAGGAUAGUGGAAUUCCAGGUGUAGGAGUGAAAUCCGUAGAUAUCUGGAGGAACAUCAGUGGCGAAGGCGACUAUCUGGCACAUAACUGACGCUGAGGAGCGAAAGCGUGGGUAGCAAACAGGAUUAGAUACCCCGGUAGUC
This 465-nucleotide ribosomal RNA is filed under the name uncultured bacterium. Its description in RNAcentral is "partial 16S ribosomal RNA". It matches the Rfam family "Bacterial small subunit ribosomal RNA", at positions 338 to 795 of the family's 1533-position model. The record is from RNAcentral.